Molecule: ribosomal RNA, 145 nt
Filed under: Chloroflexota bacterium
Lineage: Bacteria; Bacillati; Chloroflexota
Description: Chloroflexi bacterium (bioreactor metagenome) partial 16S ribosomal RNA
Rfam family: Bacterial small subunit ribosomal RNA
Source: RNAcentral
GGUGUGGAGAGUUUGAUCCUGGCUCAGGAUAAACGCUGGCGGCGUGCCUAAUGCAUGCAAGUCGAACGGUGUCCUUCGGGACAUAGUGGCAAACGGGUGAGUAACACGUGGGGAUCUGCCCAGUAGUGGGGAACAACUCCUCGAA